This 447-nucleotide ribosomal RNA is filed under the name uncultured bacterium. RNAcentral describes it as "partial 16S ribosomal RNA". It matches the Rfam family "Bacterial small subunit ribosomal RNA", at positions 29 to 507 of the family's 1533-position model. The record is from RNAcentral.
AACGAACGCUAUCGGUAUGCUUAACACAUGCAAGUCGGACGGACUAAUUAGGGCUUGCUCCAAUUAGUUAGUGGCAGACGGGUGAGUAACACGUGGGAAUCUGCCCAUCAGUACGGAAUAACUUUUAGAAAUAUAAGCUAAUACCGUAUAUUCUCUACAGAGGAAAGAUUUAUCGCUGAUGGAUGAGCCCGCGUCAGAUUAGGUAGUUGGUGAGGUAACGGCUCACCAAGCCGACGAUCUGUAGCUGGUCUGAGAGGAUGAUCAGCCACACUGGGACUGAGACACGGCCCAGACUCCUACGGGAGGCAGCAGUGGGGAAUAUUGGACAAUGGGCGAAAGCCUGAUCCAGCAAUACCGAGUGAGUGAUAAAGGCCCUAGGGUUGUAAAGCUCUUUUAGCAAGGAAGAUAAUGACGUUACUUGCAGAAAAAGCCCCGGCUAACUCCGUG